RNAcentral lists this ribosomal RNA (678 nucleotides) under uncultured bacterium. Its description in RNAcentral is "bacterial SSU rRNA". It matches the Rfam family "Bacterial small subunit ribosomal RNA", at positions 8 to 694 of the family's 1533-position model. The record is from RNAcentral.
AGAGUUUGAUCCUGGCUCAGGACGAACGCUGGCGGCGUGCUUAACACAUGCAAGUCGAACGAGAUCCGAACGGUGGCAACACCGGGAAAGAUCGAGUGGCGAACGGGUGCGUAACACGUGAGGAACCUGCCCCGGNUCUCUGGAAUAACAGUGGGAAACCACUGCUAAUACCGGAUAUCUCCUCGGAACCGCAUGGCUCUGAGAAGAAAGGGUUACCGGAUCGGGAGGGUCUCGCGGCCUAUCAGCUUGUUGGUGGGGUAAUGGCCUACCAAGGCUCCGACGGGUAGCUGGUCUGAGAGGACGAUCAGCCACACUGGGACUGAGACACGGCCCAGACUCCUACGGGAGGCAGCAGUGGGGAAUCUUGCGCAAUGGGCGAAAGCCUGACGCAGCAACGCCGCGUGCGGGAUGAAGGCCCUCGGGUUGUAAACCGCUUUCAGCAGGAACGAAAAUGACGGUACCUGCAGAAGAAGGUCCGGCCAACUACGUGCCAGCAGCCGCGGUAACACGUAGGGACCAAGCGUUGUCCGGAUUUAUUGGGCGUAAAGCGCUCGUANGCGGUUCGGUAAGUCGGGUGUGAAACCCCUGGGCUCAACCCGGGGACGCCACCCGAUACUGCUGUGACUCGAGUUCGGUAGGGGAGCGGGGAAUUCCUGGUGUAGCGGUGAAAUGCGCAGA